This 500-nucleotide ribosomal RNA is filed under the name uncultured bacterium. Its description in RNAcentral is "partial 16S ribosomal RNA". It matches the Rfam family "Bacterial small subunit ribosomal RNA", at positions 30 to 523 of the family's 1533-position model. The record is from RNAcentral.
AUUGAACGCUGGCGGCAUGCCUUACACAUGCAAGCCGAACGGCAGCACGGGAGCAAUCCUGGUGGCGAGUGGCGAACGGGUGAGUAAAGUAUCGGAACGUGCCCAGUCGUGGGGGAUAACGUAGCGAAAGUUACGCUAAUACCGCAUACGAUCUAUGGAUGAAAGCGGGGGAUCGCAAGACCUCGCGCGAUUGGAGCGGCCGAUAUCAGAUUAGGUAGUUGGUGGGGUAAAGGCUCACCAAGCCGACGAUCUGUAGCUGGUCUGAGAGGACGACCAGCCACACUGGGACUGAGACACGGCCCAGACUCCUACGGGAGGCAGCAGUGGGGAAUUUUGGACAAUGGGCGAAAGCCUGAUCCAGCCAUGCCGCGUGCAGGAUGAAGGCCUUCGGGUUGUAAACUGCUUUUGUACGGAACGAAAAGGUUUGGCCUAAUAAGCUGAGCUCAUGACGGUACCGUAAGAAUAAGCACCGGCUAACUACGUGCCAGCAGCAGCCGCGG